Molecule: RNase P RNA, 334 nt
Filed under: Georgenia halotolerans
Lineage: Bacteria; Bacillati; Actinomycetota; Actinomycetes; Allobogoriellales; Allobogoriellaceae
Description: partial RNase P RNA component class A
Rfam family: Bacterial RNase P class A
About the family: Ribonuclease P (RNase P) is a ubiquitous endoribonuclease, found in archaea, bacteria and eukarya as well as chloroplasts and mitochondria. Its best characterised activity is the generation of mature 5'-ends of tRNAs by cleaving the 5'-leader elements of precursor-tRNAs.
Source: RNAcentral
ACGUCCGGGCUCCGCAGGGCAGGGUGGUGGGUAACGCCCACCCGGGGUGACCCGCGGGACAGUGCCACAGAAAACAGACCGCCCUCCCGGUCCGCCGGGAGGGUAAGGGUGAAACGGUGGUGUAAGAGACCACCAGCGCACCGGGUGACCGGUGCGGCUCGGUAAACCCCACCCGGAGCAAGACCAGACAGCAGGCGCUCGAGGACGGCCCGUCCGAGCCUGCGGGUAGGUCGCUGGAGGCGUGCGGCAACGUACGUCCUAGAUGGAUGACCGCCCAGGGGUGGCCGGUGACGGUCGCCCUGGACAGAACCCGGCGUACCGGCCGACUCAUCCG